This 497-nucleotide ribosomal RNA is filed under the name uncultured bacterium. RNAcentral's name for it is "partial 16S ribosomal RNA". It matches the Rfam family "Bacterial small subunit ribosomal RNA", at positions 28 to 507 of the family's 1533-position model. The record is from RNAcentral.
GAUGAACGCUGGCGGCGUGCCUAAUACAUGCAAGUCGAGCGAACGGACGAGAAGCUUGCUUCUCUGAUGUUAGCGGCGGACGGGUGAGUAACACGUGGAUAACCUACCUAUAAGACUGGGAUAACUUCGGGAAACCGGAGCUAAUACCGGAUGAUAUUUUGAACCGCAUGGUUCAAAAGUGAAAGACGGUCUUGCUGUCACUUAUAGAUGGAUCCGCGCUGCAUUAGCUAGUUGGUAAGGUAACGGCUUACCAAGGCAACGAUGCAUAGCCGACCUGAGAGGGUGAUCGGCCACACUGGAACUGAGACACGGUCCAGACUCCUACGGGAGGCAGCAGUAGGGAAUCUUCCGCAAUGGGCGAAAGCCUGACGGAGCAACGCCGCGUGAGUGAUGAAGGCCUUCGGAUCGUAAAACUCUGUUAUUAGGGAAGAACAUAUGUGUAAGUAACUGUGCACAUCUUAACGGUACCUAAUCAGAAAGCCACGGCUAACUACGUG